ACUCCUACGGGAGGCAGCAGUGGGGAAUUUUGCGCAAUGGGGGAAACCCUGACGCAGCAACGCCGCGUGGAGGAUGAAAUCCCUUGGGAUGUAAACUCCUUCGAUGGGGAAGAUUAUGACG
Molecule: ribosomal RNA, 121 nt
Filed under: uncultured Acidobacteriota bacterium
Lineage: Bacteria; Pseudomonadati; Acidobacteriota
Description: uncultured Acidobacteria bacterium partial 16S small subunit ribosomal RNA
Rfam family: Bacterial small subunit ribosomal RNA
Source: RNAcentral